Molecule: long non-coding RNA, 4210 nt
Organism: Magallana angulata
Lineage: Eukaryota; Metazoa; Mollusca; Bivalvia; Ostreida; Ostreidae
Exons: 5
Source: RefSeq, a predicted model, not a curated record
AAGAGGCAGUCUACGAUAGAACCAUGCAAAAUCAAAAUUUUAUAAUGAAGGGUGUAGAUUAAUUUUCAUAGUUUAUCUGGAUAUAUCUAAAGUAUAUUGUCUAUUUUAUCAAAUUUUCAUGGUUAAAUUUAUCUGCACCACUGAAAUCCCCCAGAUAAGACCAUUUCUAUUUUUAGCUCAUUAUUCAUAAUAAAUUUCAUGCAUGAAUAAGGCUAAUUUCAUAGAGUCAUUUAAGUAUUAAAUAGAGUUUAAUCAUACAUGGAGUCAGAUUCACAUAACAUCUGAUACAAAUACCUUUGAUUUGGUGCACACAUAUUUUUUAAUUCAUUCGUUGAUUUUAAGCUAGAUGAUCAAAUAUUAUAAUAAGAUAGGUAAUGUCCAAAACACACUACUUCUCUUAGUAGGAUAUAAAACCUCAAGAAACGUUUUAAAUUUAGAGUUUCUUGGUUCAAACAAUAGAAUUGUCCAUAAAAAAAUAUAUUUAAAUGGGAAUUUGGUUGCAAAUAAAUAUUAAGCUUAUAUUCCGGUGUUUAAAUUCGGGAUUUUUACAAAUUAAAUUAUCUCCCUUUGUGGAACUCUCGUGUAAAGAAGAUAAAGAAGAAUGAUUGGAGAAAGCCAGAUGUCAACAAAAUGGAUGGUUUGAAAUGUAGUUUUGGUGAAAAUUGUAAAGAGAAAGCAGAUAAUAUACUUUAGGAUUGCAGGAAUAUGGAAUUCAGUGGAAAAGGAAAAGGAGAACAUGCUGUCAUUCACUACAUAAACAAUCUCAAUCUGGCAUAAUCGCGAGUGGAAUUACAUUCAUUCAAAGCCGAGAGACAUGGAUGAAGCUGAGCACACAUUUUCCAACUGGUUCUGGUGUUCGCAGAAAACGCAUUGAGAGAAAACUGUGUCAAGAUUAAUACAGAUCUGAAGGAGGAGUUGAAAGAAAUAUGCUGUUUAUUAGAGAGAACUACAGAUUCUGAAGCAAUGGACGCUGAUAUAUCAUUUUCUAACCCAAGAGAUUUUGAUCUUCUGUCAUCUCAGAAAACUGUGGGGUCUGAUCAGUCCAAAGAUGAAAGAACAGAGCAUGAAAUCUUAAAUGAAGCUGUGAAAUUAUUGUCAUAUGGAAAGUACUCCCCUGUAAAAUCACAGCCAUCUAUGAAUCUUGAUCAACUUCAGUAUUCAAAGAGAAUUGUGAUACAUGCAUGAAUUCAUAUUAAUUAUAUUUUCAUGUUAAAUACUACUCGAAAACCAUUGUCAACCUCCGCUUCGCGUCGGUUGACAAUGGUGUCCUUGGGGUGUCAAUUUCAACUGUUACCCUCCCAAACAGGCACUAUUUAUAUAAUGUUAGUCCUCUAAUAGCACUACAUGUGUAUGAGUUGAUGACGUAAGUCUUCUAAUAGCGCUACAGGUAUAAAUUGAUUAUUUUAGGCCAUUAAUAGACAAACAUGUAUCAAUUGAGGAUGUAAGCUAGAUAAUAGCACUUCAUUAAUGAUUUGAUGAUAAGAGUUGUCUAACAUCACUUGUAUGAAUUGAUGAUGUUAUUUGGCCAAAAGUGCUACAUGUAUGAAUGUUGGCGAGUAGCUCUACAUGUAUGAAUUAAUGAUGUUAGUUAUUUAAUAGUGCUACAUGUAUGAAUUGAUAAUUUUAUUUGUCUAAUAGUGCUACAAGAAGGAAUUGAUGAUGUAAGUUUGCUAAAAACAUUACAUAAUUAAUAUAUGACUUGAUGUUGUCUGUUCUAUAAUAGCAUUUCAUGUACGAAUGAUGAUGUUAGUCCUCUAUUAGCACUACACAUAUAUGAAUUGAUAAUGUUUUUGUACUAAUAGCGCUACAGGUAUGAAUUGAUUGUUAUUUGGCCAAUAGCGCUACGUGUAUCAAUUGAGGAUGUAAACUUUAUGAAUGAUUUGAUGAUAAAAGUUGACUUAUAGCACUAGUGUGAAUUGAUGGUGUUACCUGGCUAGCUAAUUGUGCUAUACGUUUGAAUUGAUGAUGUUCUUAGACUAGUAGCGCCACAUGUAUGAAUUGAUGAGGUUACAUGUAUUUGGCUAACAGCGCUACAUGAAUUAAUGAUGUUAUUUGGCCAAUAGUGAAACAUGUACAUUCAUGAAUUAAUGAUCAUUGUUGUCUUAAAUUGCUACAUGUUUAAAUUGAUGAUGUUAAUUGGCAAAUAGUGAUUCAUGUAUGAAUUGAUGUUGUUUGGUUAUCAGUGCUAUAUGUAUGAAUCAAUAAUGUUAUUUAGCUUUUAGUGCAACAUGUAUGAAUGAUGAUAAAGGUUGUUCAAUAGCACUACAUGUAUGAAUUUAUGAUUUUAUUUGACUAAAAGAUAAGUGCUACAUGUGUGAAUUGUUGGUGUUUGGUUAUUAGUGCUACAUGUAUAAAUUGAUGGUAAUACAUGUAUUUGUCUAACAGUGUUAAAUGUAUGAAUUGAAAAUAGAUGUCUUAUACGGCUACAUGUAUAAAUUAAUGAUUUUAUUUGACUAAUAGCACUACAUGUAUGAAUUGAUGUUGUUAUUUGGCCAAAAGUGAUACAUGUAUUAAUUGAUAAUAGUUGUCCACUAUUGCUACAUGUAUAAAUUGAUGAUUUUACUUGACUAAUAGCACUACAUGUAUUAUUGAUGAUGUUAUUUGGCUAAUAGGGAUACAUGUAUUAAUUGAUGAUGAUAACUUUCUAAAUUUAAAUUAAUUGCACAUCUCUGUCUUUUUUUCGUAUGUAACUGAAUAAUGAAUAUUUCAAUUCACUGAUUUUGUAUCUUUUUUUCUGAAAUUAAAAUUCUCUUUCCGAUGUAUUCAUUGUAGGUUGAAAUUUGGUUGUAUUGCAUAUUUUAUUUCAUAGCUUUAUAAACAAUGGCUUUUCAUAUUUCAUGAAAAUAACUGCAAUAAUUUGGUCUUUGCUUUUUGCUCCAUUUGAAGCAAAGGCUCAUUACAAGUAUUUCUUAUAAAUGAGUGUUACAUGUAGGCUUUUCAGGAUUUUUUUUUUCAUAUCAGGUGGUUAUAUCUACAUUUUGAAGUUUAUAACUGUAACAAAUAAUCCAUGAAUAUUAAACAGGUUAUUUAUUAAGUUAAAGAUUGUUAUUUGCUGUGUUCUUCUCAGAUAUCAUCUUAACAAUAUACUUAUGUUGUAAACUCUGCUCAAAAAUACAAAUGUAUAUGAUAAAAAAAAUGUUUGAUAUGUACAUUCAUUUAAAUUUGAAUACAUGUAACAUGAAAUCCAUUGUUAUUGUAUUUUAACAGUUUAAUGUCAAAGCGGAUGCUUAUAUAAAUUGAGGUGCUGUGGGACAUAAUUCGAUUUUAAUAUGGAUUAAUGUACAUUGUGAUUGAAAUACUUUCACCGGUUUAAAAUUUUCAAAUUUUACAAUAUUUAACCAAAAAAGAGCUUUUAAAAAUAUUUGGAGAGGUAAAAAUUGUAAAAACCCAGAGCGGGAGUCAAACUCAUGACUUACAGAUUCGUAGUACACCCUCUAACCCACUGCGCGUCGCUGUUAGGUGACAAACUUAAUGGUCCAAGUUUCCUUUCAAUUGCAGCCCCCCCCCCCCCCCCCCCCCCGCCUGAGGGCAAUUCAUAGUAAUUCUGUGUGUUUAAUUUUUAAGACUACUUAAUUCUCCAUUACUACUUGUUUUAUUUGGCAAGGAAAAUCUAAAUAAUUAUGUAAUAGCAUUUUUCUUACCCUAGAUAAAAGUGCACCAUGUCCACCCCAACCCCCUCCCAAAUCCACCCACCCCCCCAAAAUUUCCACUGAAUUUCAUUUGCAACCAAAUUCCCUCAACCAGAUUAAAGACAAAUAAAGACCAUAUAAGCUGACAAAAUAUUAUAUUAAUUGAUGCGUUUCUUGGGCAGUUAUGCCAGUUUUAGUGCAAAUAGGUCAAUUUUGGUAAAAUUUCAGUAUUUUCAUGAAGUUAAGGCCCACAUAUCUUUGUGUAUUGUGUUUAGAAAUUUAAAUUCCUUAUUAUUCAGAAUACCUAUGGGUUUUCACAAUGUGAAGAAACGGGUUUCAUUCAAUUGCAGUGUGUAAUAUUUCCAGUAAACUAAAAAGAAUUGUAUGCUGUCUAAUUUUUCAAAAGUUCUAUAAAUAGAACAAGGGAAAAACCCAAGUACCAUCCGUUUCCAUAGUUACUGAUGUAAUGUAAUAAAAAUCAUUCUCAUUAUAAUCGAGUUAGGUUAUCAUGAAUAUCUGUGCCAAGUCUCAUGAAAUUUCGAUAUACUUCCAUUGAUAGCCAUUUGCAUGGUUCUAUGGUA